Canis lupus familiaris (dog) is the source of this 251-nucleotide long non-coding RNA. RefSeq lists it as uncharacterized. The transcript has 4 exons. NCBI's taxonomy places the organism in Eukaryota, Metazoa, Chordata, Mammalia, Carnivora, Canidae. The record is from RefSeq and is a predicted model, not a curated record.
CCGAUACUCGUACGUGAAGUCCACCAAACUCGUGCUCAAGGGAACCAAGGCCAAGAGUAAGAAGAAAAAGAGCAAAGAGAAGAAGAGAAAAAGAGAAGAAGAUGAAGAAACUCAACUUGAUAUUGUUGGUUCUUUGACUCUGCACAUAUAGACAAAUCUCUGUUUCUGGCUCAUCAUGGCUUCCACUUCAAGUUUCCGCCCUUGCCAUCAACUUGUCUUCUGUGUCACUCACUCGUUCUUCUCCCUCGUUA